AUUUAUACUCCAGUUUCAGUUCCGUUGAUUCAAAGUUUUGGGACUUAGGACAAGUUUGCUAGCUUCUCUGAGCCUCAGUUUUUUAAACCGUUAAAUAGGAAUAACAGCAUGCUGAGUGCCAAGAAUUAAAGAAAAAUUUAUGUGAAAAUAUAGAUUAGAAAGAAAACUAAUAUAAAUGCAGGGGAUUAUGAUCAUAAUACUCAUAAAACUUCAGUACUCCCUGGGAAGAUCCAAUGGCCGUCAGUCAUGUGCACGUGAUCAGAAUCUGGGCCAUCAUAUUUUUUUAAGCAAGUUGAUGGCCUGAGGGUUCUUGGCCAGGUGGGAGGAGGCUGCUCUGGGAUGUUGAAGAGAGAUUUUAAAAAGGAGAUGGAAGGCUGUGAAAACAUAGUUCAAAUUGGAGGGAGCUUGGGCAGAUACCACCUUUUCUUUUAAGGAAUGAAUGUAAUUGCUUGCAUUUUGUCUCUACUUCCUUCCUCUCAUUGAUUUAUUCCGAAGGCUAGAGUUUCUACUUUACAUUCUAAUUCAUCUGACAUAGCGUGUUUUUAAAAAACUUAGCAUUGCUUGCUUUGAUUUUCCAGUUGACUUUUGCUGAUGGAGCCUCUCUGAAGGGCAAAUUCAAAGUACAGCUGGGUGCUGCAGCACUGGAGUGCGAACUUGUGGCUGUGGUUAUGAAGGAGCCUCGUCAGCUAUGCCUUUAGCCCCUGGUGAAGCAGUGCCAGUCACACUUUGCCAGUCAAACGGAGAGGCAGCAGUAGUAAGACCAGACCAAAUCAAACCAAACCAAGCAAACCACGGGGAAUGGAGGUCAUGUGAGCACACAGCAUAAAGGCAGCUGCCCACAAGCCAGGAAGAGAAGCAUCAUCAGAAACCGACCAUACUGGCUUCCUGAUCUCAGACUUUCAGCCUCCAGAAUGGAUAUAUUUGGCAUUAAACUCGGGACAAAAGAAGACACAAACUUUAUCUUGUGGUUUGGGUCCUCCAAUCCUCAUAAAAGUGUGGUUUCACCUGUUACCUCAUAAAGGUGCCAUUGCUGUAUGCACAUCUGAAUCUGUUUACAAUUUGAGAAUAGAGCAAGGACUUGUGAAACCAACUUGGAGUAGAGGUUUUCCAGGAAUAUUUAGUGAAGACUUGGGGGGAGUUGUUUGCU
This 1147-nucleotide long non-coding RNA is filed under the name Homo sapiens (human). RNAcentral's name for it is "HSALNT0367825". The record is from RNAcentral. Lineage: Eukaryota; Metazoa; Chordata; Mammalia; Primates; Hominidae.